CUUUGCCUCGGGGAGUACAAAACAAACACUAACAAAACCUUAAUCUCUAAUUUACUUCAUCUGUCACGAAAGGACCCAAAACCUCUUGACAGGUAAACAACUAGGGGAAGGUUUGCUCUUAUUGUCAGCUACAUACUGCCCUUUUUUUGGGUAUUUUUUUCUUAUUGGAGAUUUUGGAGAUCCCUUCAUCCUCUGGGCUGAAAUAUUACCCAGGUACUUGAAGCUGAGUGAGGAAGGACAUUUUUAGCAUAUGACUAAGGUAAUUCAUUAGACACUGGUUCUUUUUAAUUGGCUUCAGUAGCAGAGGGUCACCUUUUCUUGACUUUGAACUCAAAUUUCCCCUUGUCAGAAAUCCUGUAUACUUACUAUCCAGCCCAAAUAUGCUCAGGAGGAUUUUCCAUUCUGGUUUCUUGUUUUGUGUUCUCUCUCUUCUCAUAGUACUAAGUAGCAUCCAGAAUAGGACAGGGGCAGGACAGGAAGGAGAGAUAAGAGGGCAUCCAUCAUUAUUGCAAUUGUUUGGUAGGUGGGAUCCUCUAGGGGAGGGACAGAAGUCUUUGGGUAUUCACUGUAAAAAUCAGUGCCCAGGUCUCUGGGUCAAUGAGUGAAGUGGCUGAAGCAGAGUCAUCAAAAGAGCCAAAGUUUUUAAUCGGAGGAAUCCAUAUAGUGAUUAAGAUUCUGUUGGCUGAAGAGUAAUUAAAACCAACUCAAGAUAGCUUAAAGAAGAAAAUUUAUUUUUACGAUUACAGUGGUGUUUCACAAAACCCAAGGGCAUGGGUGCGGCCAAUCUCAGAAAUGAACUGUAGUCAGGAAACCCAAGCAGACCUCUCUCUCAUUUACUCACUUCUGUAUCUCUCUGUAUAUAUGCUCUGCGGUGGUUUUGAAAGUAUGUUCUCAAAUUCUUUGACAGUUCUUUCCUCAAAAGCGGAGCCUAAUUCCCCUCUCAUUGAGUGUCGGUUGGACUUGGUGGCACUUUUAAUGAGUAGAACGUGGCAGAAUGAUGGUUUGUGACUUCAGAGCUGAGGACAUAGAAAAUAUUGUGGCUUCCUCCCUGUUCUCUUUCUUGGACCACUUGUUCUGGGGAAGCCAUGUCAUGAGGAUGCUUAAAUGACCUUGUGAAGAGAUCCAUGUGGUGAGGAGCUGAGGCCUCUUGCCAACAUCCACGUGAGCGUGCCAUCUUGGAAGUGGAUUCUUCAGCCCCAAUCAAACCUUCAGAUGCAGGUGCAGUCAACAUCCUGACUGCAACCUCAUGAGAGACCCUGAGCCAAAACCAUGCAGCAGAAAAAGGCUUUGCUGGAUACGGCAAGGACAAAUAUGUACCAUGAUAGAGGAGAGUUUUCAGUUUUGUUGGGGAAAGAGAUUGCGUAUCAACCCAUGGAUGUACACACUCCGCCUCUUCAGAGAGAACUUCACAAGCCUCACUCCUGAGAUUUCCUCAAAGGCUGCAUGGCCUGUUGGACAAGAGAUUUGGUGUCGCCUUUUAUUGGAUCUUCUGACUGAAGAUACAAAGCACUAUUGACCAUUUAAAUGGCCCUCAGAGCAAGAGAAGCUUCUAUGAAUUUGCUAAUAUUCCCUCUGUGAUGAAGAUGUUUACUGCUUACUAAAUAUUUGUGAUGUCUUCUCAUUUCCAAGCUUCCCUGCAGACCCCCUGCUGAGCACUGGGGGAAUGGAAAAGGUGUAGUCCCUGCUCUCAAACAGCUUAGGAUAAAGUAUGGACACCAAUAUCCUCCACAGAAGACAAAAUUUGAUAAGUUCCAUGUAAGUGGUAUCAAAGAAACCAGAGAUGAAAAAGAAGGGAAGUAUUACUCCCAUUUGCAAGCAGUGGCACCCCAAUGUGGGGUUGGGGAAGUGGGAUGAAGUUUGCCCUGGGUGCAAACAAUUAUAGGAAACUCAAAAACAGUAAUAAAACCAACUCAAAAUCAGUCUACUUUCUAUUGUUACUAUAUGUCAGCUAUUCAAAAUAGCAUCAGUGAUAAAAUACUUCUCUCCACUGGGACUGACCGUUCCCACCCCUUGUUACACCACCAGCUGGAAGGUUGAAGAAAGGAUUCAGAAAGGAGGUGGACGAGAAGACUGAUCUUGAAGCAGAUUUAAGGUUUAUAGAAGAAAUAUGAGAGAACUUUCAAGGCAGAUAUAGUUUAAAGUUGGGAGGAGGCCAAAUUGCGGGAGAAUAUCUAUUAUACCCCAUUGUUUUAUUGCUCUGCAAUGAGUAUAGUAUUUUAAAUCUAAUCAUUAAUAUUUAGAAGGAGUUCAUUGUUAGCUCUUUAAUGCAUGCAUAUUUAUUUUUAAGUGUAAUUAACCAGCUAGAAGAAGAAACGUGUAAAGUGUAAUGAAUGCCGUAUAGUGAAGUGUCUUCAAGAAUUGUUAUGAUUACUUUGACUUGUGAGAGAAAAGAAAACUUUUAGGUUUGGGAGCGCCCUGGAGUAAAGAGAAUCCACAUCUUUUCCACUCCAGUAUAUGGCUUCAUUUUAUGGAAUCAACUGAUAGGUGGUAAUAAAUUCCCUGCCGCGGAGAGCAUUCAAGCAGAGGCUGGAGGCUGGAAGGUCUGGCUAACUGUCCCCAGGCCUGGAAUGAAGUCAAGCUGCACACGAGGAUUGAAGCCUGAGAACCAGAAAAGAUAUUUCCUCUCUUCUAAAGAACAGUGAAAGCGUCCACAGCAAAAAGAAGUAACACCAUAGCCCUUUGAAGAUCAAUGUCAAGCUCUGCCCCUUCAGGACUUUCCACAUGCACCAGUACAAUGGCCCUUCUACCUCAAUGGCAACAACUUGAGGGUUACCCAGGAAAGACAGCAAGGAGACGACUAAAUGAUGAGCAAAAUCAUUCGUCAAAGACCACGCGAGACUAGCAAGGAUCAUAGUUGCUGAGUGGGAAAAUACUUUCACUGUUGCAAGCAGCUCAGACCGAAGGGGAACAGGCAAGUCUUUGGAACUGCUUGGAGGGACAGAUUGAGACAAUGGAGGAUCCACGGCCCUGGCAGACUGGCUUCUCUUGCUGCUGCGAGUCCUGCUCCAUGACACCCUGGCGAGAUGUCCUGGCCCUAUUGGGAUGUGGUUGCCAGGCUAUCUUGGGGAGGGCAAUUCCUCCUCUUGACAAUUUCCUGGAAUCUGCUGGAAUUUUUUUGCCUCAAGGAGGAUUUAACAAGCUGGGGAGAAUUUCGCUCUGCUGCUUUUUCUGCAACUCUUUUCUUGUUCAGGUGCCAACAGGCCCUCGUCCUUCUAGGAUUCCAAGCUGUAGCUUCUUGGGAGGCUGAUGUAAUGGUUCUAAGCCUCAGAAUAGAAGACCCACUUUUUGAUAUGAUCUGUCUGCUGUGUAUUCAUCCCCAUUCCUUGCCCUCUUACCCUUCCUUCUAAAGACCUGCCAGCGCCUCUCAACAUCUUCACGCUUUCUUGGAUCCAGGCAAGGAACAUACUUAAAAUAGCCAUCAAAAGAAGAUCUGGUCUCAGCGAAGGAGAGAGAGUAAAAGGAACAAGGUAUUUUGCAGAGAAACAGUGAAAAUCCCAGAACCCAGCAGUAGGGAAGCAGGUUUAUACCUAUAAAGGCUUGCAUCCAAGACUAAUAUCAACCUCUUCAAUCCACAUAGAGCUUUUUGUAUGCACUCUUGACUCCGG
Long non-coding RNA from Equus caballus (horse), 3605 nucleotides. Lineage: Eukaryota; Metazoa; Chordata; Mammalia; Perissodactyla; Equidae. The record is from Ensembl.